AAUGAAGUUGUGUGUUGUCUACCUGUUAGAUGAGAAGAUAUUUCCGGAGAGAUUGGCCUUAACUUACAAUGGGAGUGACUAACUCAAGCGAUACUAUCUCACAGAUUGGCAGAAUUUGUCAUGGUGUUAAACAGGAAACUGGAAUUUUCUGUGAUACCAAAUGCUUGGUUUGGUCACGUCAACUUCCCCUCGUUAAUUUUUGAAUCUGCUAACACUGUAAUAAAAACAUGGAAAGAACAGCAUUUUGUAAUUAACAUUUAUCACUAAAUUAGCAUAUUAUUCACCCAAUUUUGGUUGAUUUUCACUUAAUUUUGUCUCUUGUAAAACACGCAUUCUCUCUCUCUCUCUCUCUCUCUCUCUCUCUCUCUCUCUCUCUCUCUCUCUCUAUAUAUAUAUAUAAGA
Long non-coding RNA from Megalobrama amblycephala (Wuchang bream), 402 nucleotides. RefSeq lists it as uncharacterized. NCBI's taxonomy places the organism in Eukaryota, Metazoa, Chordata, Actinopteri, Cypriniformes, Xenocyprididae. The transcript is spliced from 2 exons. The record is from RefSeq and is a predicted model, not a curated record.